Molecule: non-coding RNA, 156 nt
Organism: Acetobacter orleanensis JCM 7639
Lineage: Bacteria; Pseudomonadati; Pseudomonadota; Alphaproteobacteria; Acetobacterales; Acetobacteraceae
Source: Rfam
GCGGAGCUGCCCGGCACGUCAGGCGAGUCAUCCCCUGGGCCGAUAAGCACUUCCUAAGGGAGCUGGCUCUGUUGUGGCCCUGGUCACAUUAUCCGGCGCCCACCUGCACACGCAGGUCCUGGAGGUUGAAAGACCAACGGCCAUGGCGGCUUCGCA